UACGUAGGGGGCUAGCGUUGUCCGGAAUCAUUGGGCGUAAAGAGCGUGUAGGCGGUCCGGUAAGUCCGCUGUGAAAGUCGGGGGCUCAACCCUCGAAUGCCGGUGGAUACUGUCGGGCUAGAGUGCGGAAGAGGCGAGUGGAAUUCCUGGUGUAGCGGUGAAAUGCGCAGAUAUCAGGAGGAACACCGGUGGCGAAGGCGGCACUCUAGGCCGGUACUGACGCUGAGGAGCGAAAGCGUGGGGAGCGAACAGG
RNAcentral lists this ribosomal RNA (253 nucleotides) under uncultured bacterium. RNAcentral's name for it is "partial 16S ribosomal RNA". It matches the Rfam family "Bacterial small subunit ribosomal RNA", at positions 524 to 776 of the family's 1533-position model. The record is from RNAcentral.